RNAcentral lists this transfer RNA (87 nucleotides) under Candidatus Omnitrophota bacterium. Its description in RNAcentral is "tRNA-Leu". It matches the Rfam family "tRNA". From Rfam's summary of the family: Transfer RNA (tRNA) molecules are approximately 80 nucleotides in length. Their secondary structure includes four short double-helical elements and three loops (D, anti-codon, and T loops). Lineage: Bacteria; Pseudomonadati; Candidatus Omnitrophota. The record is from RNAcentral.
GCCGGAGUGGUGGAAUUGGCAGACAUGCAACGUUCAGGACGUUGUGAGCGUAAGCUCGUGAGAGUUCGAGUCUCUCCUCCGGCACCA